AUGCUCUUACUUGAUUUCUUUGUGGCUGGGACAGAUCAAUCUCGCACAAUGGAAAUUGCAAUAGCCGACAUCAUGCCGCAGACUGCGCAUCGGUGGUGCAAAUGGCACGUGCUGAAGAAGGCAAAAGAGAGCCUUGGAGCGCUGCUUGCAGAAGGGAGUGAAUUCAAGCCAGAGUUCAGCAAGCUAGGCCACCACGUAGUUAGUACUGAUGAAUUUGAGAAGGGAUGGGCAUGCUUGAUUGAGAAAUAUGGCCUCCAGACCAAUACAUUCCUAACGCAACUUUACGAAGUUAGGGGGAAGUGGGCAAAGCCAUACUUCAUGGGUGUGUUUUGUGCAAAAAUGACAAGUACGCAGCAAAGUGAGAGAGCAAACCACCUUCUCAAAGGGUAUGUGCCACCAGGCUGCCCCAUGCACUUGUUCAUCCGGCAAUAUGAGAAGAUGCAAUUUGACCGUGACUCAGAGGAAAGUUACCAGGAGAAGAGGACAAAACCAGGUGAGAUUGUGCUGAAGCAAAAUAUCCCAUUUGAGGUACAUGCGUUGCAGGUUUACACCAGGACAAUGUUUGAGAAAUUUGGUGAAGCAUUGUACGAGUGUGGGUCAUAUGAUCUAAUAGAAGUCGAACCCCGAUUGGAGUACAUUUCUAGGCACAUAAAAUUCCAGUCAGGGGAAAAGUGGUGCAAGAAUGAGUUUAUCAUCUCAGUGAGUGAGCCAGCCGAUGAGUUCAUUUGCGAGUGUGAACGUUUGAGCACUAUGGGAUGGUUUGCAGCCAUGUGCUUAAGGUCAUGA
This 786-nucleotide ribosomal RNA is filed under the name Triticum aestivum (bread wheat). Its description in RNAcentral is "partial small subunit ribosomal RNA". The record is from RNAcentral. Lineage: Eukaryota; Viridiplantae; Streptophyta; Magnoliopsida; Poales; Poaceae.